Molecule: ribosomal RNA, 448 nt
Filed under: uncultured bacterium
Lineage: Bacteria
Description: bacterial SSU rRNA
Rfam family: Bacterial small subunit ribosomal RNA
Source: RNAcentral
UCGAGAAUUUUUGACAAUGGGGGCAACCCUGAUCGAGCGACGCCGCGUGGAGGAUGAAGGUCUUCGGGUUGUAAACUCCUGUCAUUUGAGAACAAGGCGCACGUAUUAACUGUACGUGCGUUGAUAGUAUCAGAAGAGGAAGAGACGGCUAACUCUGUGCCAGCAGCCGCGGUAAUACAGAGGUCUCAAGCGUUGUUCGGAUUCAUUGGGCGUAAAGGGUGCGUAGGUGGCGCGCUAAGUCAGGUGUGAAAUCUCGGGGCUUAACUCCGAAACUGCAUUUGAUACUGGCGUGCUUGAGGACUGGAGAGGAGACUGGAAUUCAUGGUGUAGCAGUGAAAUGCGUAGAGAUCAUGAGGAAGACCAGUGGCGAAGGCGGGUCUCUGGACAGUUCCUGACACUGAGGCACGAAGGCCAGGGGAGCAAACGGGAUUAGAUACCCCCGUAGUCC